UUUAAAAAACUUACUUUUGAAGGAACUUUUAUAAAAGUGGAUAUUUUUCAACACACUAUCACUUCAGACAUAAGACAGACAUGCAUAAUAUUUUUCGUUAAAUUGCUAGAACUUAAGUCCACUUUAACCCAUAUAACGAAUAUUUUUGUCUGCAAUACAUAGAAAAAAAUGUUAUUUCACAAAAACUAAAAACGAAAUUUUUGCUGACAAAUUUUUCAAAUAAUCGUAACUUUCAAACACUGAAAGUUUAAUUCAAUUAAAUCUUUGUUCAGCUGAAUUUGAAGUAGCAUGUUUUACAAGUUGAAUCUACAAAAGCACCCCUUUGGAGUUAUUUUUACGAAAAUAUACAAAAUAACCUGAAAAUAAAAAAUAUAAAUUCAGCUAGUCGACAAUUCCUACAACGAAAAAAUUGGUUUUUUCCAAGUGUCCCGGUCAGAUUUCUUAGAUGAAAGUUUGCUUACAUGCAUUUGAAGAUACUCCAGGCCAACGUGAUAAAUGUAAAUUCUGGG
Molecule: long non-coding RNA, 509 nt
Organism: Belonocnema kinseyi
Lineage: Eukaryota; Metazoa; Arthropoda; Insecta; Hymenoptera; Cynipidae
Exons: 3
Source: RefSeq, a predicted model, not a curated record